GCAAUCUUGUCGGAGCGCCAUGUGCUGAGACCGAAAUGAUGUUUAUCGGAAUCCGUAGAACCUGAUCAGGCUAAAACCUGCGAAGGGAACAAGAAGAUCCAUUUU
This 105-nucleotide non-coding RNA is filed under the name Endozoicomonas numazuensis. RNAcentral describes it as "TPP sequence". It matches the Rfam family "TPP riboswitch aptamer (THI element)". From Rfam's summary of the family: Vitamin B(1) in its active form thiamin pyrophosphate (TPP) is an essential coenzyme that is synthesised by coupling of pyrimidine and thiazole moieties in bacteria. The record is from Rfam by way of RNAcentral. Lineage: Bacteria; Pseudomonadati; Pseudomonadota; Gammaproteobacteria; Oceanospirillales; Endozoicomonadaceae.